RNAcentral lists this ribosomal RNA (467 nucleotides) under uncultured bacterium. Its description in RNAcentral is "partial 16S ribosomal RNA". It matches the Rfam family "Bacterial small subunit ribosomal RNA", at positions 29 to 507 of the family's 1533-position model. The record is from RNAcentral.
ACGAACGCUGGCGGCGUGCUUCACACAUGCCAGUCGAACGGAAAGGCCCUGCUUUUGUGGGGUGCUCGAGUGGCGAACGGGUGAGUAACACGUGAGUAACCUGCCCUUGACUUUGGGAUAACUUCAGGAAACUGGGGCUAAUACCGGAUAGGAGCUCCUGCUGCAUGGUGGGGGUUGGAAGGUUUCGGCGGUUGGGGAUGGACUCGCGGCUUAUCAGCUUGUUGGUGGGGUAGUGGCUUACCAAGGCUUUGACGGGUAGCCGGCCUGAGAGGGUGACCGGCCACAUUGGGACUGAGAUACGGCCCAGACUCCUACGGGAGGCAGCAGUGGGGAAUAUUGCACAAUGGGCGGAAGCCUGAUGCAGCAACGCCGCGUGCGGGAUGACGGCCUUCGGGUUGUAAACCGCUUUCGCCUGUGACGAAGCGUGAGUGACGGUAAUGGGUAAAGAAGCACCGGCUAACUACGUG